This 623-nucleotide ribosomal RNA is filed under the name Flavobacterium sp. So1Pw_1188. RNAcentral describes it as "bacterial SSU rRNA". It matches the Rfam family "Bacterial small subunit ribosomal RNA", at positions 391 to 1015 of the family's 1533-position model. Lineage: Bacteria; Pseudomonadati; Bacteroidota; Flavobacteriia; Flavobacteriales; Flavobacteriaceae. The record is from RNAcentral.
GCCAUGCCGCGUGCAUGAUGACGGUCCUAUGGAUUGUAAACUGCUUUUAUACGAGAAAAAACACUGCUUCGUGAAGCAGCUUGACGGUAUCGUAAGAAUAAGGAUCGGCUAACUCCGUGCCAGCAGCCGCGGUAAUACGGAGGAUCCAAGCGUUAUCCGGAAUCAUUGGGUUUAAAGGGUCCGUAGGCGGUUUAAUAAGUCAGUGGUGAAAGCCCAUCGCUCAACGGUGGAACGGCCAUUGAUACUGUUAAACUUGAAUUAUUAGGAAGUAACUAGAAGAUGUAGUGUAGCGGUGAAAUGCUUAGAGAUUACAUGGAAUACCAAUUGCGAAGGCAGGUUACUACUAAUGGAUUGACGCUGAUGGACGAAAGCGUGGGUGGCGAACAGGAUUAAUUACCCUGGUAGUCCACGCCGUACACGAUGGAUACUAGCUGUUGGAAGCAAUUUCAGUGGCUAAGCGAAAGUGAUAAGUAUCCCACCUGGGGAGUACGUUCGCAAGAAUGAAACUCACAGGAAUUGACGGGGGCCCGCACAAGCGGUGGAGCAUGUGGUUUAAUUCGAUGAUACGCGAGGAACCUUACCAAGGCUUAAAUGUAGAUGGACCGAUUUGGAAACAGAUCUAU